CGAUGCUUCAUUCAAAUAUCUGCCUAUCAACCUUCGAUGGUAGGAUAGAGGCCUACCAUGGGGGACGGGUAACGGAGAAUAAGGGUUCGAUUCCGGAGAGGGAGCCUGAGAAACGGCUACCACAUCCAAGGAAGGCAGCAGGCGCGCAAAUUACCCAAUCCCGACACGGGGAGGUAGUGACAAUAAAUAACAAUAUAGGGCUCUAUUGGGUCUUAGGGAUUGGAAUGAGUACAAUUUAAAUCCCUUAACGAGGAACAAUUGGAGGGCAAGUCUGGUGCCAGCAGCCGCGGUAAUUCCAGCUCCAAUAGCGUAUAUUAAAGUUGUUGCAGUUAAAAAGCUCGUAGUUGAACCUUGGGCCUGGCUGGCCGGUCCGCCUCACCGCGUGGCACCUGGUCCGGCCGGGUCUUUCCUUCUGGGGAGCCGAUGCCCUUCACUGGGUGUGUCGGGGAACCAGGACUUUUACUUUGAAAAAAUUAGAGUGUUCAAAGCAGGCCUAUGCUCGAAUACAUUAGCAUGGAAUAAUAGAA
RNAcentral lists this ribosomal RNA (527 nucleotides) under uncultured fungus. RNAcentral describes it as "SSU rRNA". It matches the Rfam family "Eukaryotic small subunit ribosomal RNA", at positions 288 to 822 of the family's 1831-position model. Lineage: Eukaryota; Fungi. The record is from RNAcentral.